GUCACCGUAAAGAAGUGUGUUUGUUAUCUCUUCCAUGAAACCUAUUUCUCCUUCUUCUUUUUUUUCUUCUUCUGCUACUACGAUUCUUCUCUUCGCCCGCGAAAAAACUCUAAAUUUUGAGAUUUGAGGAAAAGAAGAAGAAGGAACAAGAUCGUUAGGUCAAGUGAUCGCAGAGUCCUCAAUAUCUUCAGGUGUUUUUGGAAAAAGAAAACUCCAGUUCUGGACCAUGGUCAGAUUAAGUUAAAUGACAAAUCCAUGGCUAAGAGGAGGACGAAAAGUCUGGAAUUCCCCUCAUUACUCAUUCAAGUUGGAAAAUUUGAUCUUUCUCACAGUGAGUGGUGAAGUUGAUACCUUGAAAGUGGUUACUGACGAAGAAAAUGGUGUUAUUAUGGGAGCUUCAGGUCUGUUGAAACUAGAAAAAUUUGAUCAGGUAAAGACUCAAAAAUAUACUGAAAUACGAUCAGAGAUAGUUGGAACUCAAGUUGAUGCUUCUUAGUUGUGAACGUGUUUUUUGAAAGUUAGCGGUGGUUGUUUGAUCUGGAUGGAAGCCCGUUGUAGUAUGCUUGAACAUAGGCUUCUCUAGGAUUGUACUUGGCAUGGCCAAUUCAUCUCGGCAUUUUCACAUUUCCAGUUUUAAAGUUUUUUGGGAGAAGAUCUUAGUCCCACAUCAUGUAACUGUCUGUCACUGUUUUUUGCGUGUACUAUUCCAGUAGCUGCAAAUCCAUUAUCAUUUAACCGCCAUGUGCAUCUACUUAAUUACAUUCAUUUCGGAGAACAUGUUAAAUUCGUCACUGUUUUUUGCGUGAACUAUUCCAGUAGCUGCAAAUCCAUUAUCAUUUAACCUCCAUGUGCAUCUACUUAAUUACAUUCGUUUCGGAGAACAUGUUAAAUAAAUUGAGUUAACGUUUCUACUUAAUGAUAUUUUGA
Papaver somniferum (opium poppy) is the source of this 927-nucleotide RNA transcript. RefSeq lists it as uncharacterized. The record is from RefSeq and is a predicted model, not a curated record. The transcript is spliced from 6 exons. Lineage: Eukaryota; Viridiplantae; Streptophyta; Magnoliopsida; Ranunculales; Papaveraceae.